Homo sapiens (human) is the source of this 509-nucleotide long non-coding RNA. The record is from Ensembl. Lineage: Eukaryota; Metazoa; Chordata; Mammalia; Primates; Hominidae.
GAGACCAGCAGGUCACCAGCAGGCCCAGCUGUGCAGCUUCUGUGUUCAGGUUCUCAUGAAGUUAGGACUCCACUUCGCCAUCCACCUGCCUAGCUCCACGGCCCAGACCAGUCUGAUAUGGAUGAGCUGCUUGAACCCUCCUGAGGGGUGGGGAACUUCUAUCUAGGACGGUCAGAACACCUCAGUCUCGGGAAGCCAACUCCAUACAUUAGUUUGACUUGUGGAUUGGCUCUUCUGGAGACACCUUUAAAGGUAGCUCCCAGAAGAGGAUAUGCACUGUCUGGAUAAGUUUGAGGAUAAAAAGACAGAAAGACUUGGGUUCAAACCCCAGCUCCUCGACCUACUGCAUGUCCUUUCUAAACUCAGGCUCCUCAUCAAUGAAAAUGGGGGUACAGUACCCACCUCACAGGAAUGUGGAGGUAAGAAAUGAUGUAUAGUUGAAUUUUGUGAAUGGUGAUACUCAACCACUUUUGACUUAUAAGAACCACAAUUUCAUUCCAUCAGGUUCA